GAUGAACGCUGGCGGCGUGCCUAAUACAUGCAAGUCGAGCGAACGGACGAGAAGCUUGCUUUUCUGAUGUUAGCGGCGGACGGGUGAGUAACACGUGGAUAACCUACCUAUAAGACUGGGAUAACUUCGGGAAACCGGAGCUAAUACCAGAUAAUAUUUUGAACCGCAUGGUUCAAAAGUGAAAGACGGUCUUGCUGUCACUUAUAGAUGGAUCCGCGCUGCAUUGGCUAGUUGGUAAGGUAACGGCUUACCAAGGCGACGAUGCAUAGCCGACCUGAGAGGGUGAUCGGCCACACUGGAACUGAGACACGGUCCAGACUCCUACGGGAGGCAGCAGUAGGGAAUCUUCCGCAAUGGGCGAAAGCCUGACGGAGCAACGCCGCGUGAGUGAUGAAGGUCUUCGGAUCGUAAAACUCUGUUAUUAGGGAAGAACAUAUGUGUAAGAAACUGUGCACAUCUUGACGGUACCUAAUCAAAAAGCAACGGCUAACUACGUG
This 497-nucleotide ribosomal RNA is filed under the name uncultured bacterium. RNAcentral's name for it is "partial 16S ribosomal RNA". It matches the Rfam family "Bacterial small subunit ribosomal RNA", at positions 28 to 507 of the family's 1533-position model. The record is from RNAcentral.